UUAAGCGACUAAGCGUACACGGUGGAUGCCCUGGCAGUCAGAGGCGAUGAAGGACGUGCUAAUCUGCGAAAAGCGUCGGUAAGGUGAUAUGAACCGUUAUAGCCGGCGAUGUCCGAAUGGGGAAACCCAGUGCAAUUCGUUGCACUAUCGUUAACUGAAUACAUAGGUUAACGAGGCGAACCGGGGGAACUGAAACAUCUAAGUACCCCGAGGAAAAGAAAUCAACCGAGAUUCCCCCAGUAGCGGCGAGCGAACGGGGAGCAGCCCAGAGUCUGAAUCAGCUUGUGUGUUAGUGGAACGGUCUGGAAAGUCCGACGGUACAGGGUGAUAGUCCCGUACACCAAAAUGCACAGGCUGUGAACUCGAAGAGUAGGGCGGGACACGUGGUAUCCUGUCUGAAUAUGGGGGGACCAUCCUCCAAGGCUAAAUACUCCUGACUGACCGAUAGUGAACCAGUACCGUGAGGGAAAGGCGAAAAGAACCCCGGCGAGGGGAGUGAAAAAGAACCUGAAACCGUGUACGUACAAGCAGUGGGAGCACCUUCGGGUGUGACUGCGUACCUUUUGUAUAAUGGGUCAGCGACUUAUAUUCUGUAGCAAGGUUAACCGUAUAGGGGAGCCGCAGGGAAACCGAGUCUUAACUGGGCGUUAAGUUGCAGGGUAUAGACCCGAAACCCGGUGAUCUAGCCAUGGGCAGGUUGAAGGUUGGGUAACACUAACUGGAGGACCGAACCGACUAAUGUUGAAAAAUUAGCGGAUGACUUGUGGCUGGGGGUGAAAGGCCAAUCAAACCGGGAGAUAGCUGGUUCUCCCCGAAAGCUAUUUAGGUAGCGCCUCGUGAACUCAUCUUCGGGGGUAGAGCACUGUUUCGGCUAGGGGGUCAUCCCGACUUACCAACCCGAUGCAAACUACGAAUACCGAAGAAUGUUAUCACGGGAGACACACGGCGGGUGCUAACGUCCGUCGUGAAGAGGGAAACAACCCAGACCGCCAGCUAAGGUCCCAAAGUCAUGGUUAAGUGGGAAACGAUGUGGGAAGGCACAGACAGCCAGGAUGUUGGCUUAGAAGCAGCCAUCAUUUAAAGAAAGCGUAAUAGCUCACUGGUCGAGUCGGCCUGCGCGGAAGAUGUAACGGGGCUAAACCAUGCACCGAAGCUGCGGCAGCGACACUAUGUGUUGUUGGGUAGGGGAGCGUUCUGUAAGCCUGCGAAGGUGUGCUGUGAGGCAUGCUGGAGGUAUCAGAAGUGCGAAUGCUGACAUAAGUAACGAUAAAGCGGGUGAAAAGCCCGCUCGCCGGAAGACCAAGGGUUCCUGUCCAACGUUAAUCGGGGCAGGGUGAGUCGACCCCUAAGGCGAGGCCGAAAGGCGUAGUCGAUGGGAAACAGGUUAAUAUUCCUGUACUUGGUGUUACUGCGAAGGGGGGACGGAGAAGGCUAUGUUAGCCGGGCGACGGUUGUCCCGGUUUAAGCAUGUAGGCUGAUUGUCCAGGCAAAUCCGGAUAAUCAAGGCUGAGGUGUGAUGACGAGGCACUACGGUGCUGAAGUAACAAAUGCCCUGCUUCCAGGAAAAGCCUCUAAGCAUCAGGUAACAUCAAAUCGUACCCCAAACCGACACAGGUGGUCAGGUAGAGAAUACCAAGGCGCUUGAGAGAACUCGGGUGAAGGAACUAGGCAAAAUGGUGCCGUAACUUCGGGAGAAGGCACGCUGGUGUGUAGGUGAAGUCCCUGCGGAUGGAGCUGAGACCAGUCGAAGAUACCAGCUGGCUGCAACUGUUUAUUAAAAAACACAGCACUGUGCAAACACGAAAGUGGACGUAUACGGUGUGACGCCUGCCCGGUGCCGGAAGGUUAAUUGAUGGGGUUAUCCGUAAGGAGAAGCUCUUGAUCGAAGCCCCGGUAAACGGCGGCCGUAACUAUAACGGUCCUAAGGUAGCGAAAUUCCUUGUCGGGUAAGUUCCGACCUGCACGAAUGGCGUAAUGAUGGCCAGGCUGUCUCCACCCGAGACUCAGUGAAAUUGAACUCGCUGUGAAGAUGCAGUGUACCCGCGGCAAGACGGAAAGACCCCGUGAACCUUUACUAUAGCUUGACACUGAACAUUGAGCCUUGAUGUGUAGGAUAGGUGGGAGGCUUUGAAGCGUGGACGCCAGUCUGCGUGGAGCCAACCUUGAAAUACCACCCUUUAAUGUUUGAUGUUCUAACGUUGGCCCCUUACCGGGGUUGCGGACAGUGUCUGGUGGGUAGUUUGACUGGGGCGGUCUCCUCCCAAAGCGUAACGGAGGAGCACGAAGGUUAGCUAAUCCUGGUCGGACAUCAGGAGGUUAGUGCAAUGGCAUAAGCUAGCUUGACUGCGAGCGUGACGGCGCGAGCAGGUGCGAAAGCAGGUCAUAGUGAUCCGGUGGUUCUGAAUGGAAGGGCCAUCGCUCAACGGAUAAAAGGUACUCCGGGGAUAACAGGCUGAUACCGCCCAAGAGUUCAUAUCGACGGCGGUGUUUGGCACCUCGAUGUCGGCUCAUCACAUCCUGGGGCUGAAGUAGGUCCCAAGGGUAUGGCUGUUCGCCAUUUAAAGUGGUACGCGAGCUGGGUUUAGAACGUCGUGAGACAGUUCGGUCCCUAUCUGCCGUGGGCGCUGGAGAAUUGAGGGGGGCUGCUCCUAGUACGAGAGGACCGGAGUGGACGCAUCACUGGUGUUCGGGUUGUCAUGCCAAUGGCACUGCCCGGUAGCUAAAUGCGGAAGAGAUAAGUGCUGAAAGCAUCUAAGCACGAAACUUGCCCCGAGAUGAGUUCUCCCUGAGACUUUAAGUCUCCUGAAGGAACGUUAAAGACGAUGACGUUGAUAGGCCGGGUGUGUAAGCGCAGCGAUGCGUUGAGCUAACCGGUACUAAUGAACCGUGAGGCUUAACCUU
Molecule: ribosomal RNA, 2901 nt
Filed under: Klebsiella pneumoniae
Lineage: Bacteria; Pseudomonadati; Pseudomonadota; Gammaproteobacteria; Enterobacterales; Enterobacteriaceae
Description: 23S ribosomal RNA
Rfam family: Bacterial large subunit ribosomal RNA
Source: RNAcentral